This is a non-coding RNA of Acidobacteria bacterium 13_1_40CM_65_14, 111 nucleotides long. The record is from Rfam. NCBI's taxonomy places the organism in Bacteria, Pseudomonadati, Acidobacteriota.
ACUUCAUCCAGAGUGGCUGAGGGACAGGCCCUGUGACGCCACGGCAACCACGCGACCGCCAGGUCGCGGUUUAGGUGCCAAUUCCAACCUUCAGCGCCGGCUCAAUGCCGG